GAUAGUACCUUACUACUUGGAUAACCGUGGUAAUUCUAGAGCUAAUACAUGCUGAAAACCCCGACUUCGGGAGGGGUGUAUUUAUUAGAUAAAAAACCAACGCCCUUCGGGGCUUCUUGGUGAUUCAUGAUAACUUCACGGAUCGCAUGGCCUUGCGCCGGCGACGGUUCAUUCAAAUUUCUGCCCUAUCAACUUUCGAUGGUAAGGUAUUGGCUUACCAUGGUUUCAACGGGUAACGGGGAAUUAGGGUUCGAUUCCGGAGAGGGAGCCUGAGAAACGGCUACCACAUCCAAGGAAGGCAGCAGGCGCGCAAAUUACCCAAUCCCGACACGGGGAGGUAGUGACAAUAAAUACUGAUACAGGGCUCUUUUGGGUCUUGUAAUUGGAAUGAGUACAAUUUAAACCUCUUAACGAGGAACAAUUGGAGGGCAAGUCUGGUGCCAGCAGCCGCGGUAAUUCCAGCUCCAAUAGCGUAUAUUAAAGUUGUUGCAGUUAAAAAGCUCGUAGUUGAAACUUGGGCCUGGCUGGCAGGUCCGCCUCACCGCGUGUACUUGUCCGGCCGGGCCUUUCCUUCUGGAGAACCUCAUGCCCUUCACUGGGUGUGUUGGGGAACCAGGACUUUUACUUUGAAAAAAUUAGAGUGUUCAAAGCAGGCCUUUGCUCGAAUACGUUAGCAUGGAAUAAUAGAAUAGGACGUGCGGUCCUAUUUUGUUGGUUUCUAGGACCGCCGUAAUGAUUAAUAGGGACAGUCGGGGGCAUCAGUAUUCAAUUGUCAGAGGUGAAAUUCUUGGAUUUAUUGAAGACUAACUACUGCGAAAGCAUUUGCCAAGGAUGUUUUCAUUAAUCAGUGAACGAAAGUUAGGGGAUCGAAGACGAUCAGAUACCGUCGUAGUCUUAACCGUAAACUAUGCCGACUAGGGAUCGGGCGAUGUUCUUUUUCUGACUCGCUC
Molecule: ribosomal RNA, 950 nt
Filed under: Ascochyta medicaginicola var. medicaginicola
Lineage: Eukaryota; Fungi; Ascomycota; Dothideomycetes; Pleosporales; Didymellaceae
Also listed under: 3 other names
Description: SSU rRNA
Rfam family: Eukaryotic small subunit ribosomal RNA
Source: RNAcentral